RNAcentral lists this ribosomal RNA (437 nucleotides) under uncultured bacterium. RNAcentral's name for it is "bacterial SSU rRNA". It matches the Rfam family "Bacterial small subunit ribosomal RNA", at positions 958 to 1392 of the family's 1533-position model. The record is from RNAcentral.
AACGCGAAGAACCUUACCAGCCCUUGACAUCCCGGUCGCGGACUUCAGAGAUGAGGUCUUUCAGUUCGGCUGGACCGGUGACAGGUGCUGCAUGGCUGUCGUCAGCUCGUGUCGUGAGAUGUUGGGUUAAGUCCCGCAACGAGCGCAACCCUCGCCUCUAGUUGCCAGCAUUCAGUUGGGCACUCUAGAGGGACUGCCGGUGAUAAGCCGCGAGGAAGGUGGGGAUGACGUCAAGUCCUCAUGGCCCUUACGGGCUGGGCUACACACGUGCUACAAUGGCGGUGACAGUGGGACGCGAAGGGGUGACCCUUAGCAAAUCUCCAAAAGCCGUCUCAGUUCAGAUUGCACUCUGCAACUCGAGUGCAUGAAGGUGGAAUCGCUAGUAAUCGUAGAUCAGCAUGCUACGGUGAAUACGUUCCCGGGCCUUGUACACACCG